This 255-nucleotide ribosomal RNA is filed under the name uncultured bacterium. RNAcentral describes it as "partial 16S ribosomal RNA". It matches the Rfam family "Bacterial small subunit ribosomal RNA", at positions 526 to 779 of the family's 1533-position model. The record is from RNAcentral.
CGUAUGGUGCAAGCGUUAUCCGGAUUUACUGGGUGUAAAGGGAGCGCAGGCGGUGCGGCAAGUCUGAUGUGAAAGCCCGGGGCUCAACCCCGGUACUGCAUUGGAAACUGUCGUACUAGAGUGUCGGAGGGGUAAGUGGAAUUCCUAGUGUAGCGGUGAAAUGCGUAGAUAUUAGGAGGAACACCAGUGGCGAAGGCGGCUUACUGGACGAUAACUGACGCUGAGGCUCGAAAGCGUGGGGGAGCAAACAGGAUU